AAUCAACGCUGGCGGCGUGCCUAACACAUGCAAGUCGAACGCGAAAGUCCCGCAAGGGAUGAGUAGAGUGGCAAACGGGUGAGUAACACGUGGGUGACCUGCCUUCGAGCGGGGGAUAGCGUCCCGAAAGGGACGCUAAUACCGCAUGACAUCCUGCCUUUGAAGAGGUGGAGAUCAAAGCUGGGGAUCGCAAGACCUAGCACUUGAAGAGGGGCCCGCGUCGAUUAGCUAGUUGGUGGGUAACGGCUCACCAAGGCAUCGAUCAGUAUCCGGCCUGAGAGGGCGGACGGACACACUGGGACUGAGACACGGCCCAGACUCCUACGGGAGGCAGCAGUGGGGAAUUGUUCGCAAUGGGCGCAAGCCUGACGACGCAACGCCGCGUGGAGGAUGAAGACCUU
This 401-nucleotide ribosomal RNA is filed under the name uncultured bacterium. RNAcentral describes it as "bacterial SSU rRNA". It matches the Rfam family "Bacterial small subunit ribosomal RNA", at positions 29 to 418 of the family's 1533-position model. The record is from RNAcentral.